GUGGGGAAUAUUGGACAAUGGGGGGAACCCUGAUCCAGCCAUGCCGCGUGUGUGAAGAAGGCCUUUUGGUUGUAAAGCACUUUAGGCGAGGAGGAGGCUACCGAGAUUAAUACUCUUGGAUAGUGGACGUUACUCGCAGAAUAAGCACCGGCUAACUCUGUGCCAGCAGCCGCGGUAAUACAGAGGGUGCAAGCGUUAAUCGGAUUUACUGGGCGUAAAGCGCGCGUAGGUGGCCAAUUAAGUCAAAUGUGAAAUCCCCGAGCUUAACUUGGGAAUUGCAUUCGAUACUGGUUGGCUAGAGUAUGGGAGAGGAUGGUAGAAUUCCAGGUGUAGCGGUGAAAUGCGUAGAGAUCUGGAGGAAUACCGAUGGCGAAGGCAGCCAUCUGGCCUAAUACUGACACUGAGGUGCGAAAGCAUGGGGAGCAAACAGGAUUAGAUACCCGGGUAGUCC
Molecule: ribosomal RNA, 451 nt
Filed under: uncultured bacterium
Lineage: Bacteria
Description: partial 16S ribosomal RNA
Rfam family: Bacterial small subunit ribosomal RNA
Source: RNAcentral